UGAAAUUCUAAGAUUUUCUGGAGACAAACAACUGCGAAGGCAUUUGUCUAAAAUACUUCCAUUAAUCAAGAACGAAAGUUAAGGGAGUGAAGACGAUCAGAUACCGUCGUAAUCUUAACCAUAAACUAUACCGACUAGGUUUUGGAUGAAAGUAAAACAAAUAAGGAUAGUCUCUUCGGGGAUAGUCCUUAGAUUUCUUCCUUCAGUACCCUAUGAGAAAUCAAAGUCUUUGGGUUCUGGGGCGAGUAUUCGCGCAAGCGAGAAAGUUAAAAGAAUUGACGGAAGGGCACCACCAGGCGUGGAGCUUGCGGCUUAAUUUGACUCAACACGGGAAAACUCACUAGUUUAAGACAAGAGUAGGAUUGACAGAUUAAUAGCUCUUUCUUGAUUUCUUGGAUGGUGAUGCAUGGCCGUUUUUAGUUCGUGAAUAUGAUUUGUCUGGUUAAUUCCGAUAACGAACGAGAUCUUAACCUGCUAAUUAGCGGUAAGUACGACAUAUUUUUAUAUCGAAUUGGAU
This 517-nucleotide ribosomal RNA is filed under the name Plasmodium cynomolgi. RNAcentral describes it as "SSU rRNA". It matches the Rfam family "Eukaryotic small subunit ribosomal RNA", at positions 912 to 1393 of the family's 1831-position model. The record is from RNAcentral. Lineage: Eukaryota; Apicomplexa; Aconoidasida; Haemosporida; Plasmodiidae.